This 459-nucleotide ribosomal RNA is filed under the name uncultured bacterium. RNAcentral's name for it is "bacterial SSU rRNA". It matches the Rfam family "Bacterial small subunit ribosomal RNA", at positions 27 to 479 of the family's 1533-position model. The record is from RNAcentral.
GGACGAACGCUGGCGGCGUGCCUAAUACAUGCAAGUCGAGCGGACAGAUGGGAGCUUGCUCCCUGAUGUUAGCGGCGGACGGGUGAGUAACACGUGGGUAACCUGCCUGUAAGACUGGGAUAACUCCGGGAAACCGGGGCUAAUACCGGAUGGUUGUUUGAACCGCAUGGUUCAAACAUAAAAGGUGGCUUCGGCUACCACUUACAGAUGGACCCGCGGCGCAUUAGCUAGUUGGUGAGGUAACGGCUCACCAAGGCAACGAUGCGUAGCCGACCUGAGAGGGUGAUCGGCCACACUGGGACUGAGACACGGCCCAGACUCCUACGGGAGGCAGCAGUAGGGAAUCUUCCGCAAUGGACGAAAGUCUGACGGAGCAACGCCGCGUGAGUGAUGAAGGUUUUCGGAUCGUAAAGCUCUGUUGUUAGGGAAGAACAAGUACCGUUCGAAUAGGGCGGUACC